This 253-nucleotide ribosomal RNA is filed under the name uncultured bacterium. Its description in RNAcentral is "partial 16S ribosomal RNA". It matches the Rfam family "Bacterial small subunit ribosomal RNA", at positions 524 to 776 of the family's 1533-position model. The record is from RNAcentral.
UACGUAGGGACCAAGCGUUGUUCGGAUUUACUGGGCGUAAAGGGCGCGUAGGCGGCAAUUCAAGUCAUCUGUGAAAUCUCCGGGCUUAACCCGGAACGGUCAGGUGAUACUGUUUUGCUAGAGUGCGGAAGGGGCAAUCGGAAUUCUCGGUGUAGCGGUGAAAUGCGUAGAUAUCGAGAGGAACACCAGUGGCGAAGGCGGCUACCUGGCAUGAUACUGACACUGAGGCGCGAGAGCGUGGGGAGCAAACAGG